Molecule: ribosomal RNA, 426 nt
Filed under: uncultured bacterium
Lineage: Bacteria
Description: bacterial SSU rRNA
Rfam family: Bacterial small subunit ribosomal RNA
Source: RNAcentral
GUGAGGAAUUUUCCGCAAUGGGCGAAAGCCUGACGGAGCAAUGCCGCGUGAAGGAUGAAGGCCUAUGGGUUGUAAACUUCUUUUCUCAGAAAAGAAUUAUGACGGUAUCUGAGGAAUAAGCAUCGGCUAACUCUGUGCCAGCAGCCGCGGUAAGACAGAGGAUGCAAGCGUUAUCCGGAAUGAUUGGGCGUAAAGCGUCUGUAGGUUGUUUAAAAAGUAUUCUGUCAAAGAUUAGGGCUUAACCCUAGAUAGGCAGAAUAAACUUUUAAGCUAGAGUUUGGUAGAAGCAGGGGGAAGUCCCGGUGGAGCGGUGAAAUGCGUAGAGAUCGGGAGGAACACCAAAGGCGAAGGCACUCUGCUGGGCCAAUACUAACACUGAGAGACGAAAGCGAGGGGAGCAAAUGGGAUUAGAUACCCGGGUAGUCC